CGUUGGGAACUAGUUGUGGGGUCCAUUCCACGGAUUCCGUGACGCAGCUAACGCAUUAAGUUCCCCGCCUGGGGAGUACGGCCGCAAGGCUAAAACUCAAAGGAAUUGACGGGGACCCGCACAAGCGGCGGAGCAUGCGGAUUAAUUCGAUGCAACGCGAAGAACCUUACCAAGGCUUGACAUACACGAGAACGCUGCAGAAAUGUAGAACUCUUUGGACACUCGUGAACAGGUGGUGCAUGGUUGUCGUCAGCUCGUGUCGUGAGAUGUUGGGUUAAGUCCCGCAACGAGCGCAACCCUCGUUCUAUGUUGCCAGCACGUAAUGGUGGGAACUCAUGGGAUACUGCCGGGGUCAACUCGGAGGAAGGUGGGGAUGACGUCAAAUCAUCAUGCCCCUUAUGUCUUGGGCUUCACGCAUGCUACAAUGGCCGGUACAAAGGGCUGCAAUACCGCGAGGUGGAGCGAAUCCCAAAAAGCCGGUCCCAGUUCGGAUUGAGGUCUGCAACUCGACCUCAUGAAGUCGGAGUCGCUAGUAAUCGCAGAUCAGCAACGCUGCGGUGAAUACGUUCCCGGGUCUUGUACACACCGCCCGUCAAGUCA
This 600-nucleotide ribosomal RNA is filed under the name bacterium Ca.S19. RNAcentral describes it as "bacterial SSU rRNA". It matches the Rfam family "Bacterial small subunit ribosomal RNA", at positions 807 to 1404 of the family's 1533-position model. The record is from RNAcentral.